ACAGAACUCAUUUUCGAUGUUUAACAACAGUUAAUUAAAAUUUAUUCAGUCAAAAGCUUUGACAUCGAUUAUUUUCAAGAUUUCUUUUAUUUUCAAGAUUCAUGAUAAAAUUAGAAGAGUCCACGAAUUUAGAGCUCCCCGUUUUCAACUAUGGACGCAAGUUGCAAAGGAAAGCGAUAGUGACAGAGAAGAGGAAGCCAUGUGAGGAUGCUAUUGUUUAACGAUGAUUGCUGAAUUCUUGGCAAAUACUUUUCUUAAUUUCCUUCCUCAGAUCAUACGGAGAGUAGUUAGGCCAAUUUAUUUUGAAAAUAUCGUCCCACGCCUUCAUUACAGUGCCUAUUCCUUUGUGUUUACUACUUUAGUAUUUAUUCUUGAAUUGUAGGAAACUACUAUUUUUUUAUUACUUACUGAUAAGUUUGUUUUUUUGUUUUUAAGGAAUUACUUUUCUGUGUGAUGAAGGCAUAGAAGAUGACAUUUUGUGGUUUCGCAGAAAAUUGGGAUCCCACAAAGUCUUCAUCAAUUCUCUGACAUAUUUGGGAAGCUAAGAAUCAGACUCAUCAUUCCAUUUGGGAUCAUUCUUUGCUGCCGGGGUGAUUUCUCUUAAUCUCUUACCCUUUAUUUUGUGUUGUAUUUUUUAGGAACCUGAGUAUCAGAACUAUCGCUCCAUAAGGAUUUAAAGUGUGAUAUUCCAGGAGCAUUUCAUCAUCACAGGCUCACAGCGCAUCUCAUCAUACUCUGGAUUAUACUCAUAUGGUGGAGAACCAUGGUUAAUUUUCUCAGAUGCAGAAGAAUCAGUGUCUGAAGACACAUAUUGUGUUGGUAUUUCCUUUUUGUGUUUUUCUAGCUGUACUCUGAUAUUACUCUGACUCAUUCAGACGUCAUUCACGACUUGUUCACCUUGUGCCUUCACAUUCUUUGAAAAAAAAAUCAUUCAUUUACGUAUCUGAGUAACUUUAUCAUUUGACUUUACCAUAUUUACCUUUGUUUAUCAUUUAAUUCAGCAUUAGUUUUUUUCAAGGACAUCUAUAUUCAUUUUGGACUCCCUCUAGUCAUUCAC
Long non-coding RNA from Daphnia pulicaria, 1057 nucleotides. RefSeq lists it as uncharacterized. The transcript is spliced from 3 exons. NCBI's taxonomy places the organism in Eukaryota, Metazoa, Arthropoda, Branchiopoda, Diplostraca, Daphniidae. The record is from RefSeq and is a predicted model, not a curated record.